UGGGGAAUCUUGCACAAUGGGGGAAACCCUGAUGCAGCGACGCCGCGUGAGCGAUGAAGCCCUUCGGGGUGUAAAGCUCUUUCGGCAGGAACGAUAAUGACGGUACCUGCAGAAGAAGCUGCGGCUAACUACGUGCCAGCAGCCGCGGUAAUACGUAGGCAGCAAGCGUUGUUCGGAGUUACUGGGCGUAAAGAGUGUGUAGGCGGUUCUCUAAGUUCCGUGUGAAAUCUCCCGGCUCAACUGGGAGGGUGCGCGGAAAACUGGAGGGCUUGAGUAUGGGAGAGGAAAGCGGAAUUCCUGGUGUAGCGGUGAAAUGCGUAGAUAUCAGGAGGAACACCUGCGGUGUAGACAGCUUUCUGGACCAUCACUGACGCUGAGACACGAAAGCGUGGGUAGCAAACAGGAUUAGAUACCCCCGUAGUCC
This 424-nucleotide ribosomal RNA is filed under the name uncultured bacterium. Its description in RNAcentral is "bacterial SSU rRNA". It matches the Rfam family "Bacterial small subunit ribosomal RNA", at positions 355 to 796 of the family's 1533-position model. The record is from RNAcentral.